This 73-nucleotide transfer RNA is filed under the name Chthonomonas sp. Its description in RNAcentral is "tRNA-Thr". It matches the Rfam family "tRNA". Rfam says of the family: Transfer RNA (tRNA) molecules are approximately 80 nucleotides in length. Their secondary structure includes four short double-helical elements and three loops (D, anti-codon, and T loops). Lineage: Bacteria; Bacillati; Armatimonadota; Chthonomonadia; Chthonomonadales; Chthonomonadaceae. The record is from RNAcentral.
GCCUCAGUAGCUCAGCUGGUAGAGCAACGCUCUUGUAAAGCGAAGGUCGCUGGUUCGAAUCCGGUCUGAGGCU